Orbicella faveolata is the source of this 1352-nucleotide long non-coding RNA. The record is from RefSeq and is a predicted model, not a curated record. Lineage: Eukaryota; Metazoa; Cnidaria; Anthozoa; Scleractinia; Merulinidae.
CGAGAUGAAAAGAUUUCAUCAAAAUGGUGACACCUUGGUUUUUACGUGUACAGGACUGACGUUGAUUUUAUUACAUGUCUCCUUAUUAUCACUAGGUGUCACAACACAACAAUUUUGAUAUUAUAUUAAUGCAGUAUCAAAUGUUAUGUGAUGACGACUGAUCAAUCCAAUUUUCAUGUCCAUGUAGAUCACUGUCAUUUCCAAGUGCCUUGCCCUGCAAGAGUCUGUGCGUGAUGCAGCAGAUUUAUUUCUCUCGUUGAAGUAUCCACCAUUACUUUUCAUUUGCGAUACGCCCUGUGGUUUUGCCAGGCAUAUUGAUUGCCGUGCACCUGAUGUGGGAAAAAAACUGUGGGGAAAGUUCAGUGGAUGUUUUGAGAUUCUUGACAGCGACAGGUCACCAUCACAGGGGAAGAGUGUCCCUCAUAUUGUACCUUCAGAGUACCUUGCCAGCUCUGUACCUCUCCAUCGUCAAUCACACGAAGAUGAACCUCUGAUGCAUCCCAUAUCUGGAGAUUGCAGACGAUACAUACUUGGUGAUCGAUUCCAUUCAGCAAGCAAUCCACAUAAAUCACCUUUAUGUGCAUUUCACAACAUUAACCUAUGCUUACAAGCCAAUAGCGUGAAGACAAGCUAUCAGGAGAGUGAAAAUAAUCGCAAGAACAUUUGUAGACUGCGAAGUGCCUGUGUUCAAGGUUUUGGGGUCCAUUUCCUGUACAACUUCCUCAUGGACUUUUAUCCAAACGAACAGAUUGUACGCAGACAGGUUGCUACACUGAAGAAAAAUACACAAGGCAAUUGUGAUAUUGUUAGAGAUGAAUUUAUGUGUUUUACUUUUAAGCAACCUGUAUCAAAGAAGUAAUUUCAGCAUUAAGGAGUAUCUGUACUGGAUUGUUGGCAAUAAUUUCAAGCUAUACAAAUAAAUUACAUUCUCCAUUUGGGGCUCAAAUAUUGGUAUUUGCCUGUGGAUAUCUGUUCACAGAAACGAAUAGUUUUCCUAGAGCAAAAUAUUUGUACAUACUUAAGCAAAAUUGAGAUUACCGUAUUUAUUAUCUUUUAACUGUUUUUACGAAUACUUCUGUGAGACAAGAAAGAAGAGGAAGUGGAACAAGAACUGAAUGCCAUGUGGGAUGAGCAGGAUGACAUCAAUGACUAACUCUUGUGCAACUUUAAAUAGUUUCCACCCUCGCAAAACUCGCAUCUUGCGUAUGCUCAGUUUAACAAGACAUACUAUCUUCCUUGCAUUCUUCCAACGUAAAAAUGCACACAUGUCGCUUGUAAAUAGUGUAUAUAUUGCUGGGCACAUCCAAUUUGUAAAAUUUGGAAUUUUGAGAAAUAGAGUUGUUAAAAACCAA